This 487-nucleotide ribosomal RNA is filed under the name uncultured bacterium. Its description in RNAcentral is "partial 16S ribosomal RNA". It matches the Rfam family "Bacterial small subunit ribosomal RNA", at positions 31 to 507 of the family's 1533-position model. The record is from RNAcentral.
GAACGCUGGCGGCAUGCUUUACACAUGCAAGUCGAACGGCAGCGGGGUAGUGCUUGCACUACUGCCGGCGAGUGGCGAACGGGUGAGUAAUAUAUCGGAACGUACCGAGUAAUGGGGGAUAACCAAUCGAAAGAUUGGCUAAUACCGCAUACGUCCUGAGGGAGAAAGCGGGGGAUCGCAAGACCUCGCGUUAUUCGAGCGGCCGAUAACUGAUUAGCUAGUUGGUGGGGUAAAGGCCUACCAAGGCGACGAUCAGUAGCGGGUCUGAGAGGACGAUCCGCCACACUGGGACUGAGACACGGCCCAGACUCCUACGGGAGGCAGCAGUGGGGAAUUUUGGACAAUAGGGGCAACCCUGAUCCAGCCAUGCCGCGUGUAUGAAGAAGGCCUUCGGGUUGUAAAGUACUUUUGUUAGGGAAGAAAAGGGAAGUGCUAAUACCACUUUUUGCUGACGGUACCUAAAGAAUAAGCACCGGCUAACUACGUG